CCUAGGGGCGGCUGCAGUGGGGAAUAUUGGACAAUGGGCGAAAGCCUGAUCCAGCCAUGCCGCGUGUGUGAAGAAGGCCUUCGGGUUGUAAAGCACUUUCAGUGGGGAAGAAAGCCUUGGGGCUAAUACCCUCGAGGAAGGACAUCACCCACAGAAGAAGCACCGGCUAACUCCGUGCCAGCAGCCGCGGUAAUACGGAGGGUGCGAGCGUUAAUCGGAAUUACUGGGCGUAAAGCGCGCGUAGGCGGUCUGAUAAGCCGGUUGUGAAAGCCCCGGGCUCAACCUGGGAACGGCAUCCGGAACUGUCAGGCUAGAGUGCAGGAGAGGAAGGUAGAAUUCCCGGUGUAGCGGUGAAAUGCGUAGAGAUCGGGAGGAAUACCAGUGGCGAAGGCGGCCUUCUGGACUGACACUGACGCUGAGGUGCGAAAGCGUGGGUAGCAAACAGGACUAGAUACCCCAGUAGUC
RNAcentral lists this ribosomal RNA (465 nucleotides) under Vreelandella stevensii. RNAcentral's name for it is "partial 16S ribosomal RNA". It matches the Rfam family "Bacterial small subunit ribosomal RNA", at positions 338 to 795 of the family's 1533-position model. The record is from RNAcentral. Lineage: Bacteria; Pseudomonadati; Pseudomonadota; Gammaproteobacteria; Oceanospirillales; Halomonadaceae.